UACGGAGGGUGCAAGCGUUAUCCGGAUUCACUGGGUUUAAAGGGUGCGUAGGCGGGUAAGUAAGUCAGUGGUGAAAUCUUCAAGCUUAACUUGGAAACUGCCAUUGAUACUAUUUAUCUUGAAUGUUCUGGAGGUCAGCGGAAUAUGUCAUGUAGCGGUGAAAUGCUUAGAUAUGACAUAGAACACCUAUUGCGAAGGCAGCUGACUACGGAAAUAUUGACGCUGAGGCACGAAAGCGUGGGGAUCAAACAGG
This 253-nucleotide ribosomal RNA is filed under the name uncultured bacterium. RNAcentral describes it as "partial 16S ribosomal RNA". It matches the Rfam family "Bacterial small subunit ribosomal RNA", at positions 524 to 776 of the family's 1533-position model. The record is from RNAcentral.